Molecule: long non-coding RNA, 956 nt
Organism: Neofelis nebulosa (Clouded leopard)
Lineage: Eukaryota; Metazoa; Chordata; Mammalia; Carnivora; Felidae
Exons: 3
Source: RefSeq, a predicted model, not a curated record
GGAAAAGGAACUCCCUCUCUGGGGCAUGCGGCGGAGGGCUGCCAAAGCCUGCUAGACUCUCCUGGUGGAGCCGGACGAAGUAGAGAGAGACAGGGGGAGGCGGGAGGCGAGCCUGGAAAUCCCUGCGAGCCCUAGCGGAGAGGUUCCCUGCCCGGGGCGGGGCGCUGGAGAGCUUCCCAGACACUGAAGGCGUCGGGGAGAACUUAUCCUGGAACUGCUGGACAGCUCCGGGACCUAGAGCGCCCCCUGCCAAACAGCGCCGAGAACCGGACUCUUGGUUCUCCAGGACCAGCACACAGCAGGAGACAAGGGCAGCAGAGCGAGUGUGCCUGUCCACGCUGAAAAGAAGAAAUGAUAGGAAAAACUGCACCAAGCUGGACAACGUCUAUCAUUAUACACAAGAUUUACCCCACUAAAGUGAGAUAAGAAGCAAAAUCAUUCACUGAGAGUGAGGAGCAGAAGCGAGGAGGUGGAAAUUUGAGAAGCAAGAAGAGGAGGUGAAAUAGUAAUCCCUGAGAGAGAAAAUAAAUCAAUAAGGAAAUGGGAACUGUGGUCGACUGAAUUGCAAAGACUGCACUGAGGCCCACUUGAGACAGUCAUAAACUUUAAAAGAGAUCAAUCAGAAUAGUUAGGUGUUUUCCUCCAGAGAUCAAACUACAAGCUUGGGAAACAUUUAUUGACUGUUUAUUAUGUGCCAAGCACUGUUGUAAGCAUUGUACUCCUAUUAAUACCUUUGAAUUGGGGCGCCUCAGUGGCUCAGUUGGUUAACAUCCGACUCUUGGUUUUGGCUCAAGUCAUGAUCUCACGGUUUCAUGGGUUCAAGCCCUACAUCUGACUCCUCCUCGCUGACGGUGCAGAGCCUGCUUUGGAUUCUGUGUCUCUUUCUCUCUCUGCCCCUCCCCCACUCACACUGUCUCUGUCUUCUCAAAAUAAAUAAAUAAACUUAAAAAAAAAUU